GUGGGGGAUAUUGCACAAUGGGGGAAACCCUGAUGCAGCGACGCCGCGUGAAGGAAGACGUACUUCGGUAUGUAAACUUCUAUCAGCAGGGAAGAAGAUGAUGGUACCUGACUAAGAAGCCCCGGCUAACUACGUGCCAGCAGCCGCGGUAAUACGUAGGGGGCAAGCGUUAUCCGGAUUUACUGGGUGUAAAGGGAGCGUAGACGGUGAAGCAAGUCUGAUGUGAAAACCCGGGGCUCAACUCCGGGAUUGCAUUGGAAACUGUUUUACUUGAGUGCUGGAGGGGCAAGCGGAAUUCCUGGUGUAGCGGUGAAAUGCGUAGAUAUCAGGAAGAACACCGGUGGCGAAGGCGGCUUGCUGGACAGUAACUGACGUUGAGGCUCGAAAGCGUGGGGAGCAAACAGGAUUAGAUACCCGGGUAGUCC
Molecule: ribosomal RNA, 425 nt
Filed under: uncultured bacterium
Lineage: Bacteria
Description: partial 16S ribosomal RNA
Rfam family: Bacterial small subunit ribosomal RNA
Source: RNAcentral